UACGGGGGGAGCAAGCGUUGUUCGGAUUUACUGGGCGUAAAGGGCGCGUAGGCGGCGCGACAAGUCACUUGUGAAAUCUCUGGGCUCAACCCAGAACGGUCAAGUGAUACUGUCGUGCUAGAGUGCGGAAGGGGCAACUGGAAUUCUUGGUGUAGCGGUGAAAUGCGUAGAUAUCAAGAGGAACACCUGCGGCGAAGGCGGGUUGCUGGGCCGACACUGACGCUGAGGAGCGAAAGCGUGGGGAGCGAACAGG
This 253-nucleotide ribosomal RNA is filed under the name uncultured bacterium. RNAcentral describes it as "partial 16S ribosomal RNA". It matches the Rfam family "Bacterial small subunit ribosomal RNA", at positions 524 to 776 of the family's 1533-position model. The record is from RNAcentral.